RNAcentral lists this long non-coding RNA (447 nucleotides) under Gallus gallus (chicken). RNAcentral's name for it is "long non-coding RNA NONGGAT001028". Lineage: Eukaryota; Metazoa; Chordata; Aves; Galliformes; Phasianidae. The record is from RNAcentral.
GAGAAUCUUUAAAACCUUUUAUUUAAAGUCUUUUUAAUGAAGGAUAACUAGAAUUGCUUGCGGAAGCCGCAAAUGAUAGGAGCCAUAUGUAGUUACAAACCCAGAAACAUCCCACCCAGAAGCAGUUCGCAAUAGGAUCGAUGAUUAAUGUUGUCAGGCACUACGAACGUUACAGCUCUUGGCUCCUCUCUUGCAGGAAUCUGCAGAAACGAGAUCUAAUGGGAACAAUACGACGGUAUCGGUGAUUUCAUGGCAUUCUGCAGCUUAAGGAAUAAAAAGUUUUACAAGAAAUAAAAAAAAAAGUUUACAAGUAAUCGCUAUUACAUAAGCUAAUGUAUCACAAUCACUAUUUCUGUCUGCAAACAAGGACCCUGGAGAGUCAAAUUAUAUCACAGGAUGUAAGGCACCUCACAGAACAAGAGAACAAUUUCAGGAAGUUUUAGGAAA